GCCCCGGCUGGGCCACCGAGGCCGAUGUCGUGGUCGUCGGCUCCGGGGUCGCCGGGCUGACGGCGGCGCUGCGCUGCGCCGCGGCCGGGGCC
RNAcentral lists this transfer RNA (92 nucleotides) under Streptomyces violaceusniger. Its description in RNAcentral is "tRNA-Asp". The record is from RNAcentral. Lineage: Bacteria; Bacillati; Actinomycetota; Actinomycetes; Kitasatosporales; Streptomycetaceae.